This is a long non-coding RNA of Gossypium arboreum, 430 nucleotides long. RefSeq lists it as uncharacterized. The record is from RefSeq and is a predicted model, not a curated record. NCBI's taxonomy places the organism in Eukaryota, Viridiplantae, Streptophyta, Magnoliopsida, Malvales, Malvaceae. The transcript is spliced from 2 exons.
UGACUUUUCCCUUCCCAAUGCUACUGCUUAACAUUUACUACUCUAAAAAAAAACUAUCUUGAAACCCAUUUGUUUUAUUUUUUCUUAAAAAAAACCUCAUGCUCUCCAAUCUCUCAUUCUCCCCUUGCUUCCUCGCCGAAAUAUUAGCACCCUGGCCCUCCGCUCGCGCCCAGCAAAGCCUCUGACAGUGACUCCGGUAUAACGGACGUGGGUUGUGCUUGGUGGUGGAGAACGUGGGUAAUAGAAGCAUGGAGGCAGUUGGAGGCUAAGGUCUUGGCUGAAGACGUUUUGGGGUUUGUGGGUUAGGGUUAAGUAUUUGGGCUUCAAAAUUGGAUCUAUUUUCAUUUUGUUUUUAAUUUAAUUUUGGUUCUAUUUUUGAUCUUUGGGGGUUUAUUUUUGGUUUUAAAAAAAUUUGGGCUUUAAAGGUAAA